Astatotilapia calliptera (eastern happy) is the source of this 624-nucleotide long non-coding RNA. Lineage: Eukaryota; Metazoa; Chordata; Actinopteri; Cichliformes; Cichlidae. The record is from Ensembl.
CUGUGAGUUUCCCAUCACGUCGUAGCUACUCGGUGCUUGCUCGGAAGUUUAGGGGUUUUUUUCGCUGUAAAAAGAAGUUUUCUUCCCACGCACGAUGGACGCUAAUGUUUUUGUCACUUUUUAUGGAAUCAAACUCAAAGUAAGGAACUCAUCCCUAACCCAGAGGGGGCACUCCACCCUUUUUCGGCUGAGGACCAUGGCCUGCGAACCAUUCCAAGAGGCAAAGUCACCCGCUACAAUGGAGGCAACAGAAAAUAGAGUCCACCAGAAGCUCUCAGUCUGCUGUGGAAAAAUGGGUGAUCACCUGAGGCCUUCAUUACUGUGUGAACUUUACCCACACACCACUCUUCACUGCUCCCACCUGCUGGACAGUCGCACAGUAUAAACCUGCUGAUUCAUGUAAAGGGAGAGGCAGUAAAACCAGAAAAACAGCUUCAGGAAGAGGCGGAGCAACACCUGAAAGACGAGAAGUUCAAGGUCAUUUUCCAGAAGUGAAAGUGUGUGAGAGCAGUAGCAGACCUGCAGUCAAGACCUGUUAGUCUCUAAAAGAAAACUCACUGGAGUCCAUCAGGUUUCUCUCAGCAACAGUGUUGAGUGCAUUUUCUGUUUCUACACAAAUCUUCA